UACGGGGGGGGCAAGCGUUGUUCGGAAUUACUGGGCGUAAAGGGCUCGUAGGCGGCCAACUAAGUCAGACGUGAAAUCCCUCGGCUUAACCGGGGAACUGCGUCUGAUACUGGAUGGCUUGAGUUCGGGAGAGGGAUGCGGAAUUCCAGGUGUAGCGGUGAAAUGCGUAGAUAUCUGGAGGAACACCGGUGGCGAAGGCGGCAUCCUGGACCGACGCUGACGCUGAGGAGCGAAAGCCAGGGGAGCAAACCGG
This 253-nucleotide ribosomal RNA is filed under the name uncultured bacterium. RNAcentral describes it as "partial 16S ribosomal RNA". It matches the Rfam family "Bacterial small subunit ribosomal RNA", at positions 524 to 776 of the family's 1533-position model. The record is from RNAcentral.